UUCUCUUGAGAGCGGCGGACGGGUGAGUAAUGCCUAGGAAUCUGCCUGGUAGUGGGGGAUAACGUUCGGAAACGGACGCUAAUACCGCAUACGUCCUACGGGAGAAAGCAGGGGACCUUCGGGCCUUGCGCUAUCAGAUGAGCCUAGGUCGGAUUAGCUAGUUGGUGGGGUAAUGGCUCACCAAGGCGACGAUCCGUAACUGGUCUGAGAGGAUGAUCAGUCACACUGGAACUGAGACACGGUCCAGACUCCUACGGGAGGCAGCAGUGGGGAAUAUUGGACAAUGGGCGAAAGCCUGAUCCAGCCAUGCCGCGUGUGUGAAGAAGGUCUUCGGAUUGUAAAGCACUUUAAGUUGGGAGGAAGGGCAGUAAAUUAAUACUUUGCUGUUUUGACGUUACCGACAGAAUAAGCACCGGCUAACUCUGUGCCAGCAGCCGCGGUAAUACAGAGGGUGCAAGCGUUAAUCGGAAUUACUGGGCGUAAAGCGCGCGUAGGUGGUUCGUUAAGUUGGAUGUGAAAUCCCCGGGCUCAACCUGGGAACUGCAUUCAAAACUGACGAGCUAGAGUAUGGUAGAGGGUGGUGGAAUUUCCUGUGUAGCGGUGAAAUGCGUAGAUAUAGGAAGGAACACCAGUGGCGAAGGCGACCACCUGGACUGAUACUGACACUGAGGUGCGAAAGCGUGGGGAGCAA
RNAcentral lists this ribosomal RNA (691 nucleotides) under soil bacterium Vanc-S1R-M1LLLSSL-2. RNAcentral's name for it is "bacterial SSU rRNA". It matches the Rfam family "Bacterial small subunit ribosomal RNA", at positions 84 to 771 of the family's 1533-position model. The record is from RNAcentral.